GACGGAGGAUGCAAGUGUUAUCCGGAAUCACUGGGCGUAAAGCGUCUGUAGGUGGUUCGAAAAGUCCACUGUUAAAAAUUGAGGCUUAACUUCAAAGAUGCCGUGGAAACUUUCAAACUAGAGUAUGGUAGGGGUAGAGGGAAUUUCCAGUGGAGCGGUGAAAUGCGUAGAUAUUGGAAAGACCACCGAUGGCGAAGGCACUCUACUGGGCCAUUACUGACACUGAGAGACGAAAGCUAGAGGAGCAAACAGG
RNAcentral lists this ribosomal RNA (253 nucleotides) under uncultured bacterium. RNAcentral describes it as "partial 16S ribosomal RNA". It matches the Rfam family "Bacterial small subunit ribosomal RNA", at positions 524 to 776 of the family's 1533-position model. The record is from RNAcentral.